Molecule: long non-coding RNA, 4299 nt
Filed under: Homo sapiens (human)
Lineage: Eukaryota; Metazoa; Chordata; Mammalia; Primates; Hominidae
Description: HSALNT0050950
Source: RNAcentral
CCGCUCCGAGGGGCCCACCCGCGAGCAGCGGGGAAGGCGGGGACCCGGGCCCCGCGGGCCUGCAGCGCCCCCGCACCCGGUUCCACGCGCCCAGGGCCGCCCCCGCGGAGAGAGGGGGCGCGAGGGGCGCGCCUCUCGCUCGGACACCCUCUCCCAGCUCGCGCCCCAGGUGAGAAAAUGAAGGCACAGAGAGAUUGAGUAACUUGCACAAGGUCACAUGUAGGAGAACUGAGCAUCCACCCUACUCAGCCUGGCCCCAAGGUCCAAGGUAACUUAAACCCAAUUAUAAAUGGCUUUGGCUAUAAAGUGUUCUUGAAUGAAAACGUUUAGGAAGUAGGCCUGGAUUCAGAUGCUUCAGAGGCUCAAAGGAAACAGGAAUCGUGGCUAACCAAAUCCAGCCCAACUGCUUCCUUGUUCACAUGGGGAAAUCGAGGAAGGCCCGGGGAGAGGAAGGCCUGGGGAGAGGAAGUUACUUGCCCAAGUUGCCCAGUUAAUUAGCCACAGAACCCAUGUCCCCCAACUCUGAAACAAGUUCCAGUUAAAGUCUUCACUGAUAACUUUAAAUCCUCCACUAACCAAGGGAGUCAUCUUUGCAUUUGCACAGAGGAGAUGGGAAAAUCACAAAGCCCUUAAGGUCCAGAAGAAAUGAGUGUCACUACGUUGGGCUCCCAGGCUGUGCAACAAGCUGUGGACGGAGAUGUCCGGGCAGGGAGCCCGGUCCAGCUCCCCACCCAUCGCAUCAUGGAGUCAGCCGUCUCCUCUGGGGACUGCACCCUCUGGGUGCUGAGAAAUCCAAAUGGCUCUUUCUCAUGCAGCCGCCCCAAGUGGGCAGGAUGGCCCUUCUCUUGAUUUGUUUCCUGCUUACUUUGUGAGAGUCAAAGUGCAUCCUUCAGGACCAAAGUGGCCAAGGGGCCAGCAUGUUAUUUAGAGUGAUCAAAAUGGACCAUUUUCAACUUGGCCCUAUUUCAGCUCCAGAGCUGUGGUUUCCACUUGCUUUUACUUAUCUGUAUUUUCUAACAUUUCUUUAGCAAAUUUGUAUUACUUUGGCAAUUAGAAAAAAUGACCAGUAAUUUUUAUAAAAGGAUUUGUGUUUGAUUUCCUUUCAGAAAGGCACUUUCAUUUAUUAAAAGAUCACAAUGAGAAGUGAAAUUAAGUUGAUCUUUCUCUCUGGCAAGGAUGUGUGGGGAGGAAUGGGGAGGUGAAUGCUGGGAGCAGAAGCCACAGCUGCAGAGCACUGCAGUGAGUGAAGGCUAGAUCAGGAGACUGGACCAGGAGGCUGGACCAAUUGGCUCUGUGGUCCUAGGCAAGUCACUCAGUGUCUCUGGGUUUCUAUUGCUAGAUGUUUGGUUUCAUUAUUUCUGGAGUUCUUUCCAGGAAUUCUCUGUAUGGAUACAGUCUUUGAGCUUUAGUGAACGUUCAUAUACGCUGUAGGAGAACAUGUAAUGGCUCAGAAAUGUGUUCAGCAUAAAUUCUGUUUGUCUUUGCGGUCCUGUGAGACUGCUGAAAGUUCUGCUCAGCUUCUCUGCUUCUUAGCAUUUGGUUUCUUCUCAGCUUCUCAGUCUCUCCGUUUAGCUCUUUAUGAAUUGGCAAAUUCAUGGAAAAGAGCACAUAGAAUGUCAGGCCCCUGCUCCAUUCAUUUCUCUUCACCCUGAGAUCUUGAUCCCUCAAGUUCUGGCUUCCUGGAUAGCUCUUUCGUGCCUUCUAACAGAUUUUUAUUUUCUUUGAACAAUUCUACCCAGGUUUUCUAAUUGUUUAUGGAGAAGAUUGAUCUUCACAAGCUAGUUUUUUCAUAGGCAAAAGCAAAAGUCUCUUCCUGUGUUAUUAAGUGAAAAUGGCUGAUUAUAAAAAGGGGCUUACAAACAAUAUUUAACAAAUCUUCAUCAAGUCCCUACUCUGUGGCAGGCCCUGGGUCAGGAGGUUGCCGAUUCCAGGAAGAAUCAGACCUUAUCCCUGCCCUUGAGUCUCAAGAAGAGGAAAGGAAAACAAAUAAGCAUAGUACAGUGUGAAAAGUGGGACUGUGGUCAAAUUUCAGUCUGCAAACUCAGAUCAUGAAAGAUAGUGUGGCUUCCACUUUGGUCUCUUAUAUCACCUACUGGGGGAAGCCAGCUGCCAUGUUGUGAGGACACUCAAGAAGCUCUGUGGAGAGGCUCUUUUGAAGGAGAACCAAUGCCUCCCACCAACAGCCAGCAUCAACUUGGGACAUGUGAGUGAACCAAUUGGAAGUGGAUCCUCCAGCCAAGUCAAGCCUUCAGAUGACUGAAGCCCCAGCCUCAUGAGAGAUAGCAGGCUAAAACUGCCCAGCUAAGCUGCUCCUGAAAUCCUGACCCCCCAAAUUAUAAAAGACAAUAAAUUAUUAUUGUUGUUUUAAGCCACUACAUGUUGGGGUGAUUCAUUAUGCAGCAACAGAUAAUAAAUACAUCACCCUUGUAUUCAUUACUGACGUUUAUUGGGAGCAUAGUGUGUGAUUUUUCAUUUAACCCUUCCAGUAAUGCUGUGAGAUAGGUAAGUUUAUUAUCCCCAUUUUACAGACAAAGAAACUGAGGUUCAGAAUGAGUGAAGUCUCUUCCCUGCAGAGUCCCUGACCUUAAGGAUUUUAUGGUCAGAUCUGAGAGACAGAAGCUCAAAAACCUAUGACUCUAGGCAAAAUAUGGCCCUGGGAUCCCAGGAUGGGGAGAGGAAUUUUGGAUUCUGGCUUCUACUUGGGCCUCAUAGCUUGGGAUGACAGAGGGUACACUCCAAAGGCAACAAACACCUUCCCUGCCCUUGAGCACCUGCUUAAUCAAGGGGAGAAAGUUCAGAUGCUUAUGCAUAAUGUGUGGUAUUUCUCUGCACAGAAACACACACGGGCCUGUACAGUAAUAAUGAAAAGCAACAACCCAUCUUAAGGGCUUGGCACUUUGCACUUACAAAGCCUUAUACAUCCCUAAUUCCAUGGAAUCACACCUGGCAGGUAAGCGUGGCCCUGUACACUUUACAGAUGGGGACACUGAGGUCAGGGAAGUUGUGUGAUUCUUGCAGAGCCAAGCAGCCUAGAAGUGGCAGAGUUCAGGUAAAACCCAGUAACUGGGUGUUUUACAAGUGCUAAGGGUAUGACAGGAGGUAGGCAGGGCUCCUCUGAGGGAGGUUUCAGGAAGAGGUCACCCGCGAGCAGGGUUCUGAGAAUGGGGAAGUGGCUUCGGGGAGAGGAUGGUGCCUGGGAGGGUUUGAGAGGAAACAGAGUGAGUCCCUAGGGGCUCCCAGGGUGUACGAGGGCAAAGAGGUGAACAUAGCUGGAGUGGAAAGAAUGAGAAAGCCUGGGUGUGUGGAAGAGCCUUGGUGUGUUAGGUGGAAUUGCAGCUGGAGGGUGUGUGCAGAAUGAGAGGUCUUGGUAUUGGGGCCAAAGUCAACUGCCACGCCUAAGGAGGGAGGAAGGCGCUUAUUUUGCUUCUUGGGUGAAAAUCAUUCCUGUGAUUUAGUUCUCCUUGGGGGAGGGGCGGGGUUUCAUCCAGCCUUAGCAAAUGCAUUCAAUCUUCACUACUUCUCUCUGUCAGAUGGGGUGGAUAGAGGUCCAAAUGUGGGCAGAAGCUUUUAUGUCCCAUCGCAGGGCAGCUAAGAACAGCUGCGCGGGUCGUUCACUGUACAUGGGCACUAGGCCAAAAGGGACUGAAAUCCGGACGGCCCUUUGUUUACUAAGCCAUGUGCCUGCAAGGCUGCACCUGCCCAGAAGGAAUGCUUCCUAUUUCUUUUCUUUAAAAAAAAAUUUUUUUUAUGAGCUAAAAUUCACAUAACAUAGAAUCUACCAUUUAAACCACUUUAAAGUAUAAAGUUCAGUGCUUUUAGUAUAGUCACAAUGUUGUGCAACCAUCACCACUAGCAGUUUUCGGAACAUUUCCAUCAUCCCAAAAAACAACUCCAUAACUCCUAAUUCCCCCCCUUUCCCCAUCUCUUGGCGACCAUGAAUCUGAACUUUCAUAUGAAUGGAGUUCUAUAAUUUGCUGUCUUCUGUGACUGUCUUCUUUCAUUUGGCAUUAAAACUUUUCAAGUUUUACCCAUGUUGUGGUAUGUGUCUGUACUUCAUUCCUUUUUAUGGCUCGAUAAUAUCGCAUUGUGUGAAUAUUCCACAAUUUGUGUAUCCCUUCAUGAGUUGAUGGACAUAUGGGUUAUAUCCACUGGCUGUUAAGAACAGGCGGGUCACGGUGGCUCACGCCUGAAAUCCCAGCACUUUGGGAGGCUGAGGUGGGCGGAUCACCUGAGGUCAGGAGUUCUAGAUCAGCUUUGCCAACACGGUGAAACCUUGUCUCUACCAAAUAUAUAAAAAUU